ACUUUAGCAGUUCCAGGAUGGC
This 22-nucleotide unclassified non-coding RNA is filed under the name Mus musculus (house mouse). RNAcentral's name for it is "oocyte_clustered_small_RNA9300". Lineage: Eukaryota; Metazoa; Chordata; Mammalia; Rodentia; Muridae. The record is from RNAcentral.